Molecule: long non-coding RNA, 479 nt
Organism: Maniola jurtina (meadow brown)
Lineage: Eukaryota; Metazoa; Arthropoda; Insecta; Lepidoptera; Nymphalidae
Exons: 2
Source: RefSeq, a predicted model, not a curated record
AAAUUGCAAUAUAUAUAAACGAGCUGUAUUUUAUAUAAGUCAUUUAUUUUGUAAAGUCUUUUCCCUCCAUAUUUAGUCCAAAAUAAUAGUAUCACAUUUAUUGGAAUCAUGAAAGUACCCAUUUGUACACUUGGCAUACUUUUAUUUGCUGGCUUUUUGGACCAUGCCAUGACUCAACAACCUCCGUCCGUUGAAGUUCCUCAACUUAUGGAUUGCGCCAACGACAUAGAGUGCGAAAAUAUCUGCAGAUCACGCUGUGAGGAUCCAUUUUUGUCUUUCUGUGCUAAUGAGUCCUGCUGGUGUCUUCCACUCUUCGACUAUCGAAGAUUCUAAGCCUAUGAAUUGAAAGACUGACGCAUAUUUGAUUAACGUGAAUUUUGUGCGUGUGUGGUACCUAAACGUACUUAUUUGUUAAUAUCACAAGCCUCACCUUUGCGUUAUAUAGAGUGUCAGUAUAAUAUAAAAUUGUUUCAUGCAAA